UAUGGUUAAGAAACAAGCAGA
Molecule: microRNA, 21 nt
Filed under: Malus domestica (apple)
Lineage: Eukaryota; Viridiplantae; Streptophyta; Magnoliopsida; Rosales; Rosaceae
Description: mdm-miR10994-5p
Source: miRBase by way of RNAcentral